Molecule: RNase P RNA, 386 nt
Filed under: Verrucomicrobiota bacterium
Lineage: Bacteria; Pseudomonadati; Verrucomicrobiota
Description: Verrucomicrobia bacterium (freshwater metagenome) partial RNase P RNA component class A
Rfam family: Bacterial RNase P class A
About the family: Ribonuclease P (RNase P) is a ubiquitous endoribonuclease, found in archaea, bacteria and eukarya as well as chloroplasts and mitochondria. Its best characterised activity is the generation of mature 5'-ends of tRNAs by cleaving the 5'-leader elements of precursor-tRNAs. Cellular RNase Ps are ribonucleoproteins.
Source: RNAcentral
GCCGCUCCCCGGACGGUCGCAAGGACGCGCAAGCGUGCUUGAGGAAAGUCCGGACACCAUAGGGCAACGUGCCUUGUGAAAGCAAGGAACGGCAGUCGUGAGACUGCCGGAUGGAAAGUGCAACAGAAAGCAUACCGCCGAUGGCCCGCAAGGGCACAGGUAAGGGUGAAAGGGUGGAGUAAGAGCCCACCGCGCCAAGGGUAACCAAGGCGGCACGGCAAACCCCACGUGGUGCAAGACAUAACAGGGGAAGGGCGGCCCGUCCGUUAACUCCGGGUAUUAGUCGCAUCCCGCGCAAGCGGGGCGUUUCGCCUCGGCGAAGUGAGAGAAAUGACCGUCCAACCCCGCGCGAGCGGGGCGGACAAAAUCCGGCUUACAGGGGAGCG